GGCGGCAUUACCGAGUGGUAAGGUAGGGGACUGCAAAUCCCUGUACCCCAGUUCGAAUCUGGGUGUCGCCU
RNAcentral lists this transfer RNA (71 nucleotides) under Canarina eminii. Its description in RNAcentral is "tRNA-Cys". It matches the Rfam family "tRNA". From Rfam's summary of the family: Transfer RNA (tRNA) molecules are approximately 80 nucleotides in length. The record is from RNAcentral. Lineage: Eukaryota; Viridiplantae; Streptophyta; Magnoliopsida; Asterales; Campanulaceae.